CUUUCUCCGCCGGCGGCCGGCGCACGGGUGAGUAACACGUAUGCAACCUGCCCCUGUCAGGGGGACAACCCGCCGAAAGGCGGGCUAAACCCGCGUACAUGCCACCGGGGCAUCCCGGAGGCAGGAAAGGCUUCGGCCGGACAGGGAUGGGCAUGCGGCGCAUUAGGCAGUAGGCGGGGUAACGGCCCACCUAACCGACGAUGCGUAGGGGUUCUGAGAGGAAGGUCCCCCACACUGGUACUGAGACACGGACCAGACUCCUACGGAAGGCAGCAG
RNAcentral lists this ribosomal RNA (276 nucleotides) under uncultured bacterium. RNAcentral's name for it is "partial 16S ribosomal RNA". It matches the Rfam family "Bacterial small subunit ribosomal RNA", at positions 79 to 354 of the family's 1533-position model. The record is from RNAcentral.